AGUGAACGCUGGCGGUAGGCCUAACACAUGCAAGUCGAACGGCAGCACAGUAAGAGCUUGCUCUUACGGGUGGCGAGUGGCGGACGGGUGAGGAAUACAUCGGAAUCUACUUUUUCGUGGGGAUAACGUAGGGAAACUUACGCUAAUACCGCAUACGACCUACGGGUGAAAGCAGGGGAUCUUCGGACCUUGCGCGAUUGAAUGAGCCGAUGUCGGAUUAGCUAGUUGGCGGGGUAAAGGCCCACCAAGGCGACGAUCCGUAGCUGGUCUGAGGGGAUGAUCAGCCACACUGGAACUGAGACACGGUCCAGACUCCUACGGGAGGCAGCAGUGGGGAAUAUUGGACAAUGGGCGCAAGCCUGAUCCGGCCAUACCGCGUGGGUGAAGAAGGCCUUCGGGUUGUAAAGCCCUUUUGUUGGGAAAGAAAAGCAGCAGGUUAAUACCCCGCUGUUCUGACGGUACCCAAAGAAUAAGCACCGGCUAACUUCGUG
This 491-nucleotide ribosomal RNA is filed under the name uncultured bacterium. Its description in RNAcentral is "partial 16S ribosomal RNA". It matches the Rfam family "Bacterial small subunit ribosomal RNA", at positions 29 to 507 of the family's 1533-position model. The record is from RNAcentral.